AGUGCUGUUUGUUUGUGUAUAUAAGGGUGGGGGGAAUUAACCCUUCUCCUUCAGGCUACAACAGCAGGUGUGUGUGUUUGUGUUGGUGGGUGACAUGGACGUGGUCCCUCCGAAAAGCUGAUGAAUCGCCGUGCUGAUGGGGAAGGUGAAAUGAGGCACGUCUAAUGGCCAGUAUAGCUAUUGUUUGUGGUCAUCACGAUUCAAACCACUAUUAUAUACAUAAAGACAUUCAACAAUGUAGACUUGCACAGGACUGAUGUUGGCACAUCAGGAAAGCUAUAUCCCUUACAAAAAGCACUAGAGUAGUACCAUGGCCAGAUGAUGGUAUCAGAUGCGCCGACCCACCAAGGCAUGGACUCCACAAGAGGUAUCCUGUGGUGUCUGGCACUAAGACGUUAGCAGCAGAUCCUUCAAGUCCUGUAGGUUGCGAGAUGGAACCAAAGUGGAUCGAACUUGUUGGUCCAGCCCAUCCCACAGAUGCUCAGUUGGAUUGAGAUCUGGGGAAUUUGGGGGCCAGGGCAAGACCUUGAACUCUUUAUCGUGUUCCUCAAACCAUUCCUGAACUAUGUGUGCACGGUGGCAGGGUGCAUUAUCCUGCUGUAAGAGGCAGGGUUUCCCAGCAGAACAUUGCCCAGAACAUCUCAUUCCUUCCACCGACUUGUCGUCAUCCCACAGUGCAUCCUGGUGCCAUCAUUUCCCCAGGUAAACGGCCGUCCAAGCGAUGUAAAAGAAAACAUGACUCAUUGGACCAGGCGACCUUCUUCCAUUGCUCCAAGGUCCAGUUCCGACACUCGCGUACCCAUUGUAGGUACUUUCGACAAUAGUGUGACUUGUGCCACAGUAGACCUUCUUUUGGCUCAGACCAGAUGGGAUAGCCUUCAUUGCCCUGCGUGCAACCAGUGAACCCUGAACGCCCAACAACCUGUUGACAGUUUGUGCCUCCUUGGAACACUGUUGGUAAAUGAUCGGGAGCAACAUACAAGCAACAUACAAGCCUUGCCAUUUCAGAGAUGCUCUGACCCAGUCAUCUGACCAUAAAAAUUUGGCCCUUGUCAAAGUUGGUCAGGUCAGUCAGGACUCCUGCCCAUUUCUCCUGCGUCCAACACGUUGAUUACGAGAACUGAUUGUUUGCUUACCAUCUAAUCUACCCAGAUCUCGACAAGUGGCCUUGUUAGGAGAUAAUCAACAAAAUUUGCUUCACCUAUGAGUAUCUAUCUAUCUAUCUAUCUAUCUAUUUAUUUUGGUUUCUAUUAAUUGUAAAGUACUUUUUGUAAGUUAAGGUUGUAAGUGAUUAAGAGAGUGAUUUUUUUUUUGUACAGAAAGAACAAGAAUAAGAAAUAUUUUACUUCAGUAACAGUGGAUGUGAGGUCAAGAGAGAUCAGACGCUUGUUUGAGACCUGAUCAAGCUGGGAUGUUAAAAGAAGAGACAGGGAUGGGUAUGAAAAAGUGAGAGGAUAUUUAUAGUAAAAUGUAUAUGAUGGAAAAGUAGAUAUUAAUAGAUAGAUUACGUUGUUUUGUUUUUUCUCUCUUUCCAUCCCUCCCUUUUUAUUCUCACCAGCCUCUCUGCAGAUGAAAGAAGAGAGGGAACCUGCAAGGUGGUUGUCACAGGCCUUUUCUUUGCCCUGGAGGACCUGUGUGGUUGCUAUAGAAACUAGGUCAGGGCUGCCGCAUCCAGGGAGGCAGAAUGUGUGAUUGUGUGACAGGUGUAUGAAGAGGUGCUGAGGAAAGGAGGGGUCGAGGUAAAACGGAAGGAAGAUUGACAAGGAUGUGAGAUUGUUUGUUUACAUUAAAACCCACAACCUGCAGUUCUACUGCUACAACUGUAUGCCCAAAUCAUAAAUUACAGAUUUCAGGGGAAAAAAAUAUAGUAGAACAUAAAAUAUUUUAGAAAACGAACAUAAUGUUUAACAAUAUAUAUUAAUUUUAUAGUUUUUUUAAAUUCUUUAUGUAGGUUAAAUUACUCCAGUAAGUGGCGACAAGUGACUGUCUUUGCAAAUGAAUCAUUGGAUAAUUCAUUGGAUUUCAGCCUAUUAGCUGAAAAAUACUGAUUCAUCCAGGAAUUAAACAAAUUAAUGUGUUUGUGAGUGAGUCAUUGAAUCAUUCAAUCAACCAAUUUCUUUAAAAACAUUGACUCUGAAACUGUGUUGCUUGGAAGGCAGUUGAUUCUGCUUUGUUUUGGAUCUAUUUCCAUUGGCUGUGCAAAAAUAUUCUGCAAAAAAAAAGUAACUAUUGAACUGUUGUAUAAAAACCUUUUAUGUGCUGAUGUGACACUUUUUAAUUAAUAAAAUUAAAAAGCUAAGAUAUAAUUUUAUUUUAUUUUAUUCCAAGCCAACAGAAAUAAAUUAAGACUGAGAGCAAUACGGAAGAGGUUUUCAUGCAGAUAUUUCUUGUUUUUUUUUUCCCUUUAAAACCACAAGACCACCUAUUUAUAGAACUAAUAGCAUGAAUAAAACCUAACCUAAUCUAAGCUUUGAACAAUAAGCACACAUGGUCCAACAGUAUCUAAUGAUUUGUAUAGUGAAUAAACAUCAAGCAUUCAGUAUAAACAUCAGCAUUUAGAUGAUUCAUUUGCUUUUCAUCUAUUCUUACUCUAUUUAUGAAUAAACUCUCAGUUUAGCACAAUCAUUUUACCGUAAUGGUGUAGGUAAACAUUUACAUUUAAAGCUUUUAGCUGAUGCUCUUAUCCAGACAUACUAACAAAAAGUAAUGUGCAUGAGCUAAAAUCACCCUAAUGGAUGUGUGUGUUCAGAGGCUGUUCUUCAGAGUCAAACAUCUGAGAUAUGGUUUGUGUCAGGGUUUAGAUUGCUGAUGGCAGAUGUGCACUGGAUGUGCGACAGAUGAGCCAACGGCCGCUAAAACAUCAAACAUCAAUGUCACUGCCGGAGACUGUCUGUCUACAUGACAAGCUGAGAAGAACUGCCUCUGUGUCCUUGGAUCACACUGACGUAGGCAAAUGUUAACAGAAGUGCAAACUGUUCGGACUACACACCUUUUCUACCUCAGGUUUCUCUGCUUUUUUCAUUCAUCAGAAGUAGACUGAUACUUUGUGAGUCAUUGAGAUUUUUUCUUGUUAACGACGGAAGGGCCUCAGCAAGACCUCAGGCCAUUAACCUCAGUGGCUCAGACGUCAGGUCUUUUCUUAGAUACCUUGAGAGAUGCUUGAGAGGACUAAAAGACUUGUUAACUCUGCAUGUCAGCACGGAUUCUCAGUACUUGCUCGUCAGGUCAUGGGUUUUGGCAUAUAUGCCCCUGGUAACACAUAUUACCAUCAGACAGACAUCUUACAGGUUGCAGCCAUCCACCUCCUACAGCGAACUUCAUAAAUCUCUCUAGCCAGAGCCAAGGAGGACGUGUUUGCAUGGAGCAUCAAGAAAAUCAAGACUGAUAUAAAAAUUCUGCUUGAUAAAGUUAAGAAGAUAAUUAUUUCAUAUUCAAAUAAAUGUACAAUAUUAAAACACUAAAUGCUACAAGUGAAUUUAGUCAUCACAACAUUAUAAUGAUUAUACAACAUUAUAAUGAAUACUCAUUUUAAGAUUUGCUAAAGAUUACAUGUAAUUAUUUAUUUAUUAUAAAUAAUUAAUUUCAAGUAUUUUUAAAUGAGGUUUAGAUAAGGCAAAGGUAAUUUACAUGUACGAUUAGGGGAAAUUAGCAUGUACAUAUAAAUAUCCAAUAUUGAGUAAUACAGAUAUAAAAUAUAUGUUUAAUAUAAUAUUUGUAAUAUUUAAUGCAAUGUUUGUAAUACGUAAUAUCUGACUGAUAACUGAUAUAUUGCAGAUUUAUUGUGCAUUCCUAAUUACUAUUGUUCAUACUUUGAACAAAACUCAAAUUAUGUAUAUGAACCUCAAAUCCUAAUGCUUAACUUUUCUAAGCCAUCUUUUUUUGGAUGAUAAAACAGGUGAAAAAUUCCUAUAGACUUUCAUGGAAAGAGAAAACUGGGCCACCGAGGGACAAAAUUAUUGUUACUGGUAAUCUGUUUCGGUUUCUGGUUUUGAGUGGGUUUGAUAUGUGUUUUUGUUUAGUUUCCUGUGUUUCAUUCAAUUUCGUUUAUUGGUUUGCCCUGUGUAUUUAAGCUCUGUGUUUCUUUUUAAGUUUUUUGUCCGUUCUCAUCACGCUAUCAGUUGUUCUGUUCCCAUUUGCUAUUUCGUGUUUUGGUUUCUGAGUUUAAAAAUAAAUAAACUAUUAUUACCUACGAUUAGAUCCUGCCUAUCUCACCUCUAUUCUGCAGCCCACCGUGAAUCCUCCUCCUCUCGCAUGGGGAACAGUCCCUUAAGAGAAACACACAGGCCUUCCUGGAUACCAUCUUGUCCACUAUGACGACGACAGCCUGUGUGUGUGUUUUCCAGGCAGGUCUCAACACAGAGCGGUCCGCUAAGGACGUUUAAGGAGUAUGUAAAAUGGAUGCUUCUAUAAUGGUUCACCCUUUACCAUCGGCAAGAGAGGAGGAAUUCAGCGCACCUGAAGUGCACACAGCACCCACUACAUCCGCAGCCACCAGCCCUUUGGACGUUAAGCCCGAGCUUACCGUAGACGCAGAGCCUGAGCCCACCACGAUGUCAGCGCCAGAGGUAAUGCCUGAGCCUAAAGGCCCAUUCACAUCAAGGACGAUAACUAAAAAGAUAACGAUGAAGAUAUAGCUCUAAAAAUCCUUCUCAAUAUUAAGAAUAGUUGAUAACGGCACAGAGAAACAGUACAGUUGGAGUCACUUUCAGAAUGAUUUUAUCCAGCUAAUGAAUGAUAAAAUCAUUGACAGCUAAUCAGAAUCAAUCCUGCUAUA
Molecule: long non-coding RNA, 4774 nt
Organism: Ctenopharyngodon idella (grass carp)
Lineage: Eukaryota; Metazoa; Chordata; Actinopteri; Cypriniformes; Xenocyprididae
Exons: 3
Source: RefSeq, a predicted model, not a curated record